GAUACAGGGCGGCGUUCUGGGUAACGAUGCUGCGUCGCUGACACUGAACGCCUCUUUUGCUUUCAAAGAGUCAAACUCAUCUGAGUCCAGUUUCAUCUCCGGUGGUUGGAGCAGUAAAUAACCCGUUCUACACAUUUCCCUUUGUUUGAGGACAAAGAAGAACGAGUUGAUGAUCAAGAUGUUCACAUUUAACAAACCAUCCUGUAAGAAAAUAUUAUGAACCUGAAAUUUCCAGAGAAAAAUGAACAACUAUUAAAAGUUUUAAGUGUGAU
Long non-coding RNA from Melanotaenia boesemani (Boeseman's rainbowfish), 272 nucleotides. RefSeq lists it as uncharacterized. NCBI's taxonomy places the organism in Eukaryota, Metazoa, Chordata, Actinopteri, Atheriniformes, Melanotaeniidae. The record is from RefSeq and is a predicted model, not a curated record. The transcript is spliced from 2 exons.